This 436-nucleotide ribosomal RNA is filed under the name uncultured bacterium. Its description in RNAcentral is "bacterial SSU rRNA". It matches the Rfam family "Bacterial small subunit ribosomal RNA", at positions 32 to 504 of the family's 1533-position model. The record is from RNAcentral.
ACGACGCUGGCGGCAGGCUGACACAUGCUGAUCGAGCGAGAAGCUAACUUCGGUUAGUGGACAGCGGCGCACGGGUGAGUAACGCGUGGGAAUUUACCUUUCGGCGGGGGACAACAGUUGGAAACGACUGCUAAUACCGCAUACGCCCUACGGGGGAAAGAUUUAUCACCGAAAGAUAGGCCCGCGUUAGAUUAGGUAGUUGGUAGGGUCAAAGCCUACCAAGCCGACGAUCUAUAGCUGGUUUGAGAGAACGAUCAGCCACACUGGAACUGAGACACGGUCCAGACUCCUACGGGAGGCAGCAGUGGGGAAUCUUGCACAAUGGGCGAAAGCCUGAUGCAGCCAUGCCGCGUGAGUGAGAAGGCCUUCGGGUUGUAAAACUCUUUUAGAUGUGAAGAUGAUGACGGUAACAUCAGAAAAAGCACCGGCUAACUUC